ACCCACCUGACGAGUUCUGAAUAGGACGAAACGCGUGUCCUGGAU
This is a non-coding RNA of Schistosoma mansoni, 45 nucleotides long. Lineage: Eukaryota; Metazoa; Platyhelminthes; Trematoda; Strigeidida; Schistosomatidae. The record is from Rfam.